Molecule: long non-coding RNA, 256 nt
Organism: Mangifera indica (mango)
Lineage: Eukaryota; Viridiplantae; Streptophyta; Magnoliopsida; Sapindales; Anacardiaceae
Exons: 2
Source: RefSeq, a predicted model, not a curated record
CUAACGUGCGCCGGAGACUUAUGUGGGAGAACGGGAUGAAGCGAUAAAUGCACGUGGCCGUGACUUAGAAGAAAACUAGAGGUUUCUACUUCUAUUCAUUUAUAAUGAAUUUGUUUGACGUAUGAUUCGGUUUUAGGUCCGUUUGGGAACAUAUAGGUUAGUGGUUUCAUGCGGAUAAGCGUAUAUCGUACGUUGAUUAUGUCUACUUGUAUAUGGUUGACCAUAGAUAAACUUAAUUACUAGUAUUUUUCUUGUA